GGCCCCGUGGCCCAGCCUGGAUAGGGCGGCGGCCUGCGGAGCCGUAGGACCCGGGUUCAAAUCCCGGCGGGGCCGCCA
Molecule: transfer RNA, 78 nt
Filed under: Caldivirga sp. CIS_19
Lineage: Archaea; Thermoproteati; Thermoproteota; Thermoprotei; Thermoproteales; Thermoproteaceae
Also listed under: 1 other name
Description: tRNA-Arg
Rfam family: tRNA
About the family: Transfer RNA (tRNA) molecules are approximately 80 nucleotides in length. Their secondary structure includes four short double-helical elements and three loops (D, anti-codon, and T loops). Further hydrogen bonds mediate the characteristic L-shaped molecular structure. tRNAs have two regions of fundamental functional importance: the anti-codon, which is responsible for specific mRNA codon recognition, and the 3' end, to which the tRNAs corresponding amino acid is attached (by aminoacyl-tRNA synthetases). tRNAs cope with the degeneracy of the genetic code in two manners: having more than one tRNA (with a specific anti-codon) for a particular amino acid; and 'wobble' base-pairing, i.e. permitting non-standard base-pairing at the 3rd anti-codon position.
Source: RNAcentral